This is a long non-coding RNA of Anoplopoma fimbria (sablefish), 828 nucleotides long. RefSeq lists it as uncharacterized. Lineage: Eukaryota; Metazoa; Chordata; Actinopteri; Perciformes; Anoplopomatidae. The transcript is spliced from 5 exons. The record is from RefSeq and is a predicted model, not a curated record.
GGACAAAAUACUAUUGUUUAUGUGGACAAGGCUGAUGGAAUGUUUCACCUUUAUUUAAUAGACAACUAAUGAUGAAACAUCACAGCAUUAUAUCCUAAUGAGCCUAAUUGAGCAAUCUGAUCUGAUAUUAUCAGAAAGAUAAGUCAUUGAUUUGGCCACUUAUCUAAUCUCACUGUCUUGUUGUGACACAGUAUUUUGUAAAAUUGUAUCAUUCCCGGAUAUAAGCUAACAAACAUUGUUUUACCUUUAUUCCUUUUAAGUACAUGGAAUUUCUCUACUUUGUUUUUCAGAUUUCCCCAUUCCGUGCUAUGGUUCAGUGAUGACACCAUCAUGUUGAUUAAAACAAGAAUCUAUAACAAACAGAAAUAUGUCAAGAUCAGCGAACCGAGCUUGGAUGGAUUUUUGAAUGCUGCUUUCAUGAAGUUCUCCAUCCCACCUGUCACUGAAGGGAUCAGAGUAUAUGAUGAGACGGGAACAGAGGUGGAUGCAGACGUCUUUGAAGAAGUAGCACAGCAGCCCAACGCUGGUGUUUUUACUAUCAGAUUUGACAUUGAUCCCCCAAGGAGCAAGUUCAUCAGGCAGUCCAUUGAUUGAUGUCGCAACCAAAGCAUCGCUGGACCUUUCAGGCUGCGGUCCUGAAGAUUCGGUCACCCUUGAACUCAUAUCCUGCGGCUCUGAUGAUACAGUCAUCCUAGGUGAGGAUUACAGUCCUUGCAGAAAAAGGCAGAAGGAAGAUCAAGAUACCAAACAGUUGGUUCAAUCUGCGUUGGCCAAGAAACCUGGUGGAGACCGUAUUGUCAAGGAAUACAACCGGACGAAAGGUCUGAC